AUGCAGUGAUGAUUGCAUAGUUCAGCAGAUAACUAUGAAGAAUAACUAUUGUCUUUCGCUCCU
This 63-nucleotide small nucleolar RNA is filed under the name Amphilophus citrinellus (Midas cichlid). RNAcentral's name for it is "Small nucleolar RNA SNORD77 (ENSACIG00000008450.1)". It matches the Rfam family "Small nucleolar RNA SNORD77". From Rfam's summary of the family: U77 belongs to the C/D family of snoRNAs. The record is from RNAcentral. Lineage: Eukaryota; Metazoa; Chordata; Actinopteri; Cichliformes; Cichlidae.